RNAcentral lists this ribosomal RNA (434 nucleotides) under uncultured Clostridium sp. RNAcentral describes it as "partial 16S ribosomal RNA". It matches the Rfam family "Bacterial small subunit ribosomal RNA", at positions 341 to 792 of the family's 1533-position model. Lineage: Bacteria; Bacillati; Bacillota; Clostridia; Eubacteriales; Clostridiaceae. The record is from RNAcentral.
ACGGGAGGCAGCAGUGGGGAAUAUUGGACAAUGGGGGAAACCCUGAUCCAGCGACGCCGCGUGAGUGAAGAAGUAUUUCGGUAUGUAAAGCUCUUUAAGCAGGAAAGAAAAUGACGGUACCUGCAGAAUAAGCCCCGGCUAACUACGUGCCAGCAGCCGCGGUAAUACGUAGGGGGCAAGCGUUAUCCGGAUUUACUGGGUGUAAAGGGAGCGUAGACGGCGAUGCAAGUCUGAUGUGAAAGCCCGGGGCUCAACCCCGGCACUGCAUUGGAAACUGUGUUGCUAGAGUGCAGGAGAGGUAAGUGGAAUUCCUAGUGUAGCGGUGAAAUGCGUAGAUAUUAGGAGGAACACCAGAGGCGAAGGCGGCUUACUGGACUGUAACUGACGUUGAGGCUCGAAAGCGUGGGGAGCAAACAGGAUUAGAUACCCUGGUA